This 429-nucleotide ribosomal RNA is filed under the name Chloroflexota bacterium. RNAcentral describes it as "Chloroflexi bacterium partial 16S ribosomal RNA". It matches the Rfam family "Bacterial small subunit ribosomal RNA", at positions 355 to 776 of the family's 1533-position model. The record is from RNAcentral. Lineage: Bacteria; Bacillati; Chloroflexota.
UAGGGAAUCUUCGGCAAUGGACGAAAGGCUGACCGAGCAACGCCGCGUGAGUGAAGAAGGUUUUCGGAUCGUAAAACUCUGUUGUUAGAGAAGAACAAGGACGUUAGUAACUGAACGUCCCCUGACGGUAUCUAACCAGAAAGCCACGGCUAACUACGUGCCAGCAGCCGCGGUAAUACGUAGGUGGCAAGCGUUGUCCGGAUUUAUUGGGCGUAAAGCGAGCGCAGGCGGUUUCUUAAGUCUGAUGUGAAAGCCCCCGGCUCAACCGGGGAGGGUCAUUGGAAACUGGGAGACUUGAGUGCAGAAGAGGAGAGUGGAAUUCCAUGUGUAGCGGUGAAAUGCGUAGAUAUAUGGAGGAACACCAGUGGCGAAGGCGGCUCUCUGGUCUGUAACUGACGCUGAGGCUCGAAAGCGGGGGGAGCAAACAGG